GAUGAACGCUGGCGGCGCGCCUAACACAUGCAAGUCGAACGAUUAAAGCACCUUCGGGUGUGUAUAAAGUGGCGAACGGCUGAGUAACACGUGGGCAACCUGCCCCUUUCAUUGGGAUAGCCACGGGAAACCGUGGAUAAUACCGAAUACUUCGAGACUUCCGCAUGGAAGACUCAAGAAAGCUCCGGCGGAGAGGGAUGGGCCCGCGGCCUGUUAGCUUGUUGGUGGGGUAACGGCCUACCAAGGCAAUGAUGGGUAGCUGGGUUGAGAGACCGACCAGCCAGAUUGGGACUGAGACACGGCCCAGACUCCUACGGGAGGCAGCAGUGGGGAAUCUUGCACAAUGGGCGAAAGCCUGAUGCAGCGACGCCGCGUGCGGGAUGAAGGCCUUCGGGUUGUAAACCGCUUUCAGCAGGGACGAGGCGAAAGUGACGGUACCUGCAGAAGAAGCCCCGGCUAACUACGUG
This 467-nucleotide ribosomal RNA is filed under the name uncultured bacterium. Its description in RNAcentral is "partial 16S ribosomal RNA". It matches the Rfam family "Bacterial small subunit ribosomal RNA", at positions 28 to 507 of the family's 1533-position model. The record is from RNAcentral.